UACAGCCAUAUCAUAUUGAAACACCAGUUCUUAUAUGAUCACCAAAAUUAAGCUAUGUUGACCCUGGUUAGUACCUAGAUGGGUUACUGCUUGGGAGUACCAGGUGCAGUAAG
Acanthosepion pharaonis is the source of this 113-nucleotide non-coding RNA. The record is from the annotation of a GenBank genome assembly. Lineage: Eukaryota; Metazoa; Mollusca; Cephalopoda; Sepiida; Sepiidae.